GAGUUUGAUCGUGGCUCAGAUUGAACGCUGGCGGCAUGCCUUACACAUGCAAGUCGAACGGCAGCACGGGCUUCGGCCUGGUGGCGAGUGGCGAACGGGUGAGUAAUACAUCGGAACGUGCCCUGUUGUGGGGGAUAACCAGUCGAAAGAUUGGCUAAUACCGCAUACGACCUGAGGGUGAAAGCGGGGGACCGCAAGGCCUCGCGCAGCAGGAGCGGCCGAUGUCUGAUUAGCUAGUUGGUGGGUAAAGGCCCACCAAGGCGACGAUCAGUAGCUGGUCUGAGAGGACGACCAGCCACACUGGAACUGAGACACGGUCCAGACUCCUACGGGAGGCAGCAGUGGGGAAUUUUGGACAAUGGGCGCAAGCCUGAUCCAGCAAUGCCGCGUGAGUGAAGAAGGCCUUCGGUU
This 411-nucleotide ribosomal RNA is filed under the name uncultured beta proteobacterium. RNAcentral's name for it is "bacterial SSU rRNA". It matches the Rfam family "Bacterial small subunit ribosomal RNA", at positions 9 to 423 of the family's 1533-position model. Lineage: Bacteria; Pseudomonadati; Pseudomonadota; Betaproteobacteria. The record is from RNAcentral.